UACGUAGGGUGCGAGCGUUAAUCGGAAUUACUGGGCGUAAAGCGUGCGCAGGCGGUGAUGUAAGACAGGCGUGAAAUCCCCGGGCUUAACCUGGGAACUGCAUUUGUGACUGCAUCGCUGGAGUGCGGCAGAGGGGGAUGGAAUUCCGCGUGUAGCAGUGAAAUGCGUAGAUAUGCGGAGGAACACCGAUGGCGAAGGCAAUCCCCUGGACCUGUACUGACGCUCAUGCACGAAAGCGUGGGGAGCAAACAGG
RNAcentral lists this ribosomal RNA (253 nucleotides) under uncultured bacterium. Its description in RNAcentral is "partial 16S ribosomal RNA". It matches the Rfam family "Bacterial small subunit ribosomal RNA", at positions 524 to 776 of the family's 1533-position model. The record is from RNAcentral.